Long non-coding RNA from Corapipo altera (White-ruffed manakin), 372 nucleotides. RefSeq lists it as uncharacterized. The record is from RefSeq and is a predicted model, not a curated record. The transcript is spliced from 3 exons. NCBI's taxonomy places the organism in Eukaryota, Metazoa, Chordata, Aves, Passeriformes, Pipridae.
GAAUUAUAAUGCCCUUCUCUCACUUGCCCUUGCUCUGUGUAGCUGCUUCCGGAAAGGAAUGUCUUGUGGCAAGUCAUAGGAGGGUACUGUGAUGAGAAGCCAAUGGGGUGGCUAUUCCAGAGGUUACUACCUGACUGCAGCCAUGUCCCCUAGGGCUUUGGUCUUGACACAUCUUUAAAAAUAAACAGGACAAAGGAUGUAGACAAACAAAUCAGUUUCACAGAACCAAAUAAAGUUUCAGAAGCACCACCACCAUCCCAUGGAUCUUCUUACAUCUCAGAAUCUUGCUUUUACCAUGUACCAGGGAAUAAGGAAACGGAAGCAUCCAUGAUGCUUCAUAAUCUUCAGCAAGUAAGGACAAGGCUCAGACAU